UCCAAAAACCCCUUCCCCUUGCACAGUGUUAUAUAUUUCGUUCAAUUGUGUACUAACAUUAUACAUUUUUGUUUCAUUCAAACAUUAUGGACCAUGGCAAGCAAACUUUGGGACAAAAGGAGAAAUAAAACGAGGAUCAAUAUCGGCGUGGCGUUUUCGAGAUAGCGAGAGUUUUGCAACAAACUUCGACUUAACAGAGAUGACGCUCUUGCACGUUAUUAGACAGGGCUGGAGGCGUGUGUUAUUGGUGAUAUUCAGAUACCCCACAUUGGUUUGAUUCCAUCCUUUGUGCAGACAUCCCAUGCUGCUAUCACAGGGGCCUUGCAGUUUUCUCUUAUUUGAUUUCACCAGCAGGUACAUGAAGGGAUUUCUGGAAUACUGAAACAAAG
Long non-coding RNA from Ctenopharyngodon idella (grass carp), 389 nucleotides. RefSeq lists it as uncharacterized. The transcript has 3 exons. NCBI's taxonomy places the organism in Eukaryota, Metazoa, Chordata, Actinopteri, Cypriniformes, Xenocyprididae. The record is from RefSeq and is a predicted model, not a curated record.